GAGAGACAGGAGAGGUGAUAGGAGAGACAGGUUGAGAGACAGGAGGGGUAAUGGGAGAGACAGGAGAGGUGAUAGGAGAGACAGGAUGAGGGACAGGAGGGGUGAUGGGAGAGACAGGAGAGGUGAUAGGAGAGACGGGAUGGGGGACAGGAGGGGUGAUAAAAGAGACAGGAGAGGUGAUAAGAGAGACAGGAUGGGGGACAGGAGGGGUGAUGGGAGAGACAGGAUGUGGGACAGGAGGGGUGAUGGGAGAGACAGGAGAGGUGAUAGGAGAGACAGCAGGGGUGAGAGGAGAGACAGGAGGGGUGAGAGGAGAGACAGGAGAGGUGAUAGGAGAGACAGCAGGGGUGAGAGGAGAGACAGGGG
Oncorhynchus tshawytscha (Chinook salmon) is the source of this 366-nucleotide long non-coding RNA. NCBI's taxonomy places the organism in Eukaryota, Metazoa, Chordata, Actinopteri, Salmoniformes, Salmonidae. The record is from Ensembl.